UAACUGGACCAUAGUAGAUGAAUCAGAACCUAAAGGUAACUGGACCAUAGUGUGAUAGAUGAAUCAGAACCUAAAGGUAACUGGACCAUAGUGUGAUAGAUGAAUCAGAACCUAAAGGUAACUGGGCCA
This is a non-coding RNA of Salmo salar (Atlantic salmon), 129 nucleotides long. The record is from RefSeq and is a predicted model, not a curated record. Lineage: Eukaryota; Metazoa; Chordata; Actinopteri; Salmoniformes; Salmonidae.